AAAAUAUCAAAUAACUCUGAAGAGACAGUUUUAGAUGGAGUUUUGUGUGUGGAUUCAUGGCCUAUGUCAAACAUACAGCAGCUGCAUAUGGUCCAAUCUGCUCUGCAGUUCGUGCAUGACCACUGGUUAAUCUGGCAGUGCAGGAACACACAUUUUAAAAAGCAGGUUCUGGAAUCAGCCUCAGGGCAAUUUCCUAAAGGUGACUGAGAAAAUCAAGCCCAUUCACGGUAGGUUUGAAUUUAUUGCUCAUGGGCUCCCCCCUCCUCUAGGAAAAAAAAA
Empidonax traillii (willow flycatcher) is the source of this 279-nucleotide long non-coding RNA. RefSeq lists it as uncharacterized. The transcript has 3 exons. Lineage: Eukaryota; Metazoa; Chordata; Aves; Passeriformes; Tyrannidae. The record is from RefSeq and is a predicted model, not a curated record.